GACGAACCGUGCAAACGUUAUUCGGAAUCACUGGGCUUAAAGCGCGUGUAGGCGGCCCGGCACGUCCGUCGCUGAAAUCCCCCGGCUCAACCGGGGAAGGGGCGCGGAUACGACCGGGCUGGAGGGGGGUAGGGGGCGCCGGAACUCACGGUGGAGCGGUGAAAUGCGUUGAGAUCGUGAGGAACGCCCGUGGCGAAAGCGGGCGCCUGGACCUUGCCUGACGCUGAGACGCGAAAGCCAGGGGAGCGAACGGG
Molecule: ribosomal RNA, 254 nt
Filed under: uncultured bacterium
Lineage: Bacteria
Description: partial 16S ribosomal RNA
Rfam family: Bacterial small subunit ribosomal RNA
Source: RNAcentral